Molecule: long non-coding RNA, 394 nt
Filed under: Ananas comosus (pineapple)
Lineage: Eukaryota; Viridiplantae; Streptophyta; Magnoliopsida; Poales; Bromeliaceae
Description: long non-coding RNA (ACOM_LNC026232)
Source: RNAcentral
CAAAAGUGGGCCACCAUUUUCGAUUUUGCAUAUUCGGGCCGGAUUUUUAGUAAACUGACCAAAAUACCCUGAUACAUUUUUCUCUCUCUUUUUUUUUCUUACGUUCUUUUUUUUUCUCACCGAAGAAGGCGACGGAGGCGAAGGUGGAAACGGCCCCCAUCGUCUCUGCCUCUCACGCCCUCGCCCUCGCCUGUGCACCCCUCGCCCUACUCGCCUCCGACCCUGCCGAGACCUCUUUUUUUUUUCUCUCUCCGACCCUCCUCCACCGCCUCCGCGGCCCACCGCGACGAUAACGAGGACGGUAACGCGUUCUGUUCCUCUUCCUUCGCCCUCCACCUCUACUACAACAGAUUUUGCACUAAAACCCACUUCUGGGAACCUGCAUUCCCACCAC